This 450-nucleotide ribosomal RNA is filed under the name uncultured bacterium. RNAcentral's name for it is "partial 16S ribosomal RNA". It matches the Rfam family "Bacterial small subunit ribosomal RNA", at positions 355 to 794 of the family's 1533-position model. The record is from RNAcentral.
UGGGGAAUCUUCCGCAAUGGACGAAAGUCUGACGGAGCAACGCCGCGUGAGUGAAGAAGGUUUUCGGAUCGUAAAACUCUGUCUUUUGGGGCGAACGUGAGUAUGGUGAACAAUCAUAGUCAGUGACGGUACCAAAGGAGGAAGCCACGGCUAACUACGUGCCAGCAGCCGCGGUAAUCGUAGGUGGCAAGCGUUGUCCGGAAUUAUUGGGCGUAAAGAGCGCGUAGGCGGGAUAGUCAGUCUGUUGUAAAGUGCGGGGCUCAACCCCGUGAUCGCAAUGGAAACAGCCAUUCUUGAGUGCAGGAGAGGAAAGUGGAAUUCCCAGUGUAGCGGUGAAAUGCGUAGAUAUUGGGAGGAACACCAGUGGCGAAGGCGACUUUCUGGACUGUGUCUGACGCUGAGGCGCGAAAGCCAGGGGGAGCGAACGGGGAUUUAGAUACCCCCGGUAGU